This is a long non-coding RNA of Lates calcarifer (barramundi perch), 2406 nucleotides long. RefSeq lists it as uncharacterized. Lineage: Eukaryota; Metazoa; Chordata; Actinopteri; Centropomidae. The record is from RefSeq and is a predicted model, not a curated record. The transcript is spliced from 2 exons.
CACUAUACGAGGAACUGGCAAAUGACAUCGGCAUCUCCCAUCACGGAUCAGAUGAGCUGGUGGAUUUUGCCAUGCUGUGGUCCUCCUGCGCCUCCAGGCCCUCAGGUUAUUUGGAUAUUGCGUAGGAGUCAAAGCCCUGUCAAUCAGAUAAGCAGUGACCUCGCAGACCCAGCAGAUAAGACGUUACAUGGCAAGAGGAAAUGGCAGACAGCAGGGGACACAAGGCCUGACUAUGAAGGUUCGGUGAAGCGAGACUGAUCACAACGGCUCUUCAAACUCAAAACGGCUGCCAAGAACGAAAAUAUAUUGCUUGUGCCUUUUCUAUCUCACAAUUUCUAUUAAGUGAGUCUGAUUUAAACCUCGUUGGCAAGCGCUUGUCUUUUCAUCUGAGGAAAAAAAAACAGUGUGCAAGGUGUUACAAGUUUCUCUCAAAAGUGUGAAUGGAAAGGGCAACAAGAAUGAGUGAUGCUUUGUAGAAUUUAGUAUUGUACAUACAUUUGAAAAGCUAAUUUGAUUAGGCAGUGGUCUGAGUCAUUUUUAAAGUAAUCUAUCUCAAAAAUAUCCAAAUCCAAAAAAAACUUCAUCAAUUAUGACUCUUAAUUGUCAGUGAUAGACACCCUAAAACAAAGCACUCAUGCCAGAUUUAACAGUCUCAAUAAAUGGCUCGCACAUUCUGCUGCUACAGGCUCACUGAGGUGGUAGGAAUAAGACAAACUUGCCAGUCAUUCCGUUACACUGGGAAAUUACAAAAGGAUGAAUGAAGGGCGAGUCUUUGUUUAGGAUGGCAGCUUUUGGGUGGUCCACAGGUUGGAAGCCCUCUGGGAGGGAUCAAGGAGACCUCCACAUAUAAUACCAAUACGACGACCUGUUGAAACAGGGUAGACGUUAAUUCAGAUGCAACUCAGCCACAACCAGGAAUCCAUUUUCUCCCCCAUUUGGAAAUUAAUUUUUCCACAAAGCUAUUACUUUUCAUUCUUCCCAUAAUUAAAUAAUCGUAAGUAAGUUUUGGAAAAACAAACUGGUUCUUGCCCGCGUCUGAGUAAAAACCCCAGAUAUGUUAUAUGUAGAAAAAGCAUAAGUCAUUUCACUGCUGCAAAAGCCUAAAUAAAUACCAAAAAUUAUAGCAAACACAAUACAAACUGUUAAUUUAAAUAAUCUUGCCCCAAAUACACUAGCCACAUGAUUAUCUAUAGAAAUGUUUUCUGAGCCCACACACUCUUUCAUUCCGACACCCUGCUUCAUAUGCACACAUAUUUAAACAUAUUUGGGUCUGGAGGCUGCCCAGGACAACCACAGUCCUCUAAUGCUGGCCACUGAGCCGAUGGUUCAGUGCUUUUCUCAAGAGCCCCCUUGAUGGUUGUUGUUGAGGGAGGGGAGAGAAGUACUCAUUCAACCCCCCAAGCAGUCUGGGGGUUCAAACACAUCAGUCACAAGUUCUCCUCCAAGUGAAAAGGGUUACUGCUGCAAAGAUUAGACCUGCAAAGCCAAUUAAACUCAGUUUAGCUGAUAUUUUUUUUUUAAAAAGUCAUUGCAUAAAGAAUAACUGAUAUUUUUCCCUCAGUAUGUAUGAUCAAUUUAGAUCAUAUUAACAGCUGUGCGUUUUUUAAACAAUGAUGAAUACAGUAUAUUUGCAUUUGAAAAGUGUAUUUUGCUUUUUGUACAGUCUAAAAAUGUAAUGCUUCCAUUCAUUUGGUUUUAUUGCUGUUUUGUGUAAGGCAACAGUGUGCAAGUGAUAGAGUUACUGUUUCAGCCCCUUUUGAUUUACCUUUUUUAUCCCAUUUUGCCAAGUAGAUAUUUGUGAGAUCCACAUCAAGGUGUCUGACAAUUUACCAGAUCUAAUGGGACUGCAUGCAGCCUGUCUGCCUGAGUACUGUAGGUCUCUGGAUGUCAUAGGGUUCAGGUUACAAGACCCACCACAUUCUCUGUGUUGCUGAGGAUUGCGGUUGGUUUAACAGUGUUUUUUCACACUUCACUCUUUAUCCUGGAACACCUUUGGGUAAGGUACUAUCUUUGCACACUUUUCCCCAUGUUAAUCUGGGCCAGUGCCAAAUAUGUCUGUAAAUCUUAUCAGCAGGCUUCUAAUGUAGUCUAAAGUAGUAUAUACAACUGUAUGGUCUGCAUGUGUAACCAAAUAAACAUGAAAAUAAAUUAGUCUAUAAAUAUAGGGAUAUAACUGCUUUAAGACAUGAGGAUUUUGUGUGUACAUAUUUAUGAAGGCCUGGCCCUGAGAAAAAGGUUGGUACAGUAAAUUCAGAUGUUUUAAUGACAUCUUCUCCUCAACAACUGACUGAAUGACAUUUCUUUAUAUGAUGUUAAAUAAAUAUCAGCAGAUGCCAAAGACUGCAAACGACUGACUAAAAACUUGUAAAUUUCCCCACUGUGGGACAAAUAAAGGAUUAUCUUAAA